Molecule: ribosomal RNA, 253 nt
Filed under: uncultured bacterium
Lineage: Bacteria
Description: partial 16S ribosomal RNA
Rfam family: Bacterial small subunit ribosomal RNA
Source: RNAcentral
UACGUAGGGUGCGAGCGUUAAUCGGAAUUACUGGGCGUAAAGCGUGCGCAGGCGGUUCGUUAAGUCAGAUGUGAAAGCCCCGGGCUCAACCUGGGAACUGCAUUUGAAACUGGCGGGCUUGAGUGCGGCAGAGGGGGGUGGAAUUCCACGUGUAGCAGUGAAAUGCGUAGAGAUGUGGAGGAACACCGAUGGCGAAGGCAGCCCCCUGGGCUGAGAUUGACGCUCAGGCACGAAAGCGUGGGGAGCAAACAGG